Molecule: ribosomal RNA, 513 nt
Filed under: uncultured bacterium
Lineage: Bacteria
Description: partial 16S ribosomal RNA
Rfam family: Bacterial small subunit ribosomal RNA
Source: RNAcentral
GAUGAACGCUGGCGGCGUGCCUAAUACAUGCAAGUCGAGCGAACAGACGAGGAGCUUGCUCCUCUGACGUUAGCGGCGGACGGGUGAGUAAUACGUGGAUCACCUACCUACCAGACUGGGAUAACUUCGGGACACCGGAGCUCAUACCGGAUAAUAUAUUGAACCGCAUGGUUCAAUAGUGAAAGACGGUUUUGGUGUCACUUAUAGAUGGAUCCGCUCCGCAUUAGCUAGUUGGUAAAGUAACGGCUUACCAAGGCUACGAUGCGUAGCCGACCUGAGAGGGUGAUCGGCCACACUGGAACUGAGACACUGUCCAGACUCCUACGGGAGGCAGCAGUAGGGAAUCUUCCGCAAUGGGCGAAAGCCUGACGGAGCAACGCCGCGUGAGUGAUGAAGGUCUUCGGAUCGUAAAACUCUGUUAUUAGGGAAGAACAAAUGUGUAAGUAACUAUGCACGUCUUGACGGUACCUAAUCAGAAAGCCACGGCUAACUACGUGCCAGCCGCCGCCGUAA